Molecule: ribosomal RNA, 1434 nt
Filed under: uncultured bacterium
Lineage: Bacteria
Description: 16S ribosomal RNA
Rfam family: Bacterial small subunit ribosomal RNA
Source: RNAcentral
GUUUAACACAUGCAAGUCGAGGGGCAGCAUGGUCUUAGCUUGCUAAGGCCGAUGGCGACCGGCGCACGGGUGAGUAACACGUAUCCAACCUGCCGUCUACUCUUGGACAGCCUUCUGAAAGGAAGAUUAAUACAAGAUGGCAUCAUGAGUCCGCAUGUUCACAUGAUUAAAGGUAUUCCGGUAGACGAUGGGGAUGCGUUCCAUUAGAUAGUAGGCGGGGUAACGGCCCACCUAGUCUUCGAUGGAUAGGGGUUCUGAGAGGAAGGUCCCCCACAUUGGAACUGAGACACGGUCCAAACUCCUACGGGAGGCAGCAGUGAGGAAUAUUGGUCAAUGGGCGAGAGCCUGAACCAGCCAAGUAGCGUGAAGGAUGACUGCCCUAUGGGUUGUAAACUUCUUUUAUAAAGGAAUAAAGUCGGGUAUGGAUACCCGUUUGCAUGUACUUUAUGAAUAAGGAUCGGCUAACUCCGUGCCAGCAGCCGCGGUAAUACGGAGGAUCCGAGCGUUAUCCGGAUUUAUUGGGUUUAAAGGGAGCGUAGAUGGAUGUUUAAGUCAGUUGUGAAAGUUUGCGGCUCAACCGUAAAAUUGCAGUUGAUACUGGAUAUCUUGAGUGCAGUUGAGGCAGGCGGAAUUCGUGGUGUAGCGGUGAAAUGCUUAGAUAUCACGAAGAACUCCGAUUGCGAAGGCAGCCUGCUAAGCUGCAACUGACAUUGAGGCUCGAAAGUGUGGGUAUCAAACAGGAUUAGAUACCCUGGUAGUCCACACGGUAAACGAUGAAUACUCGCUGUUUGCGAUAUACUGCAAGCGGCCAAGCGAAAGCGUUAAGUAUUCCACCUGGGGAGUACGCCGGCAACGGUGAAACUCAAAGGAAUUGACGGGGGCCCGCACAAGCGGAGGAACAUGUGGUUUAAUUCGAUGAUACGCGAGGAACCUUACCCGGGCUUAAAUUGCAGAUGAAUUACGGUGAAAGCCGUAAGCCGCAAGGCAUCUGUGAAGGUGCUGCAUGGUUGUCGUCAGCUCGUGCCGUGAGGUGUCGGCUUAAGUGCCAUAACGAGCGCAACCCUUGUUGUCAGUUACUAACAGGUUCCGCUGAGGACUCUGACAAGACUGCCAUCGUAAGAUGUGAGGAAGGUGGGGAUGACGUCAAAUCAGCACGGCCCUUACGUCCGGGGCUACACACGUGUUACAAUGGGGGGUACAGAGGGCCGCUACCACGCGAGUGGAUGCCAAUCCCCAAAACCUCUCUCAGUUCGGACUGGAGUCUGCAACCCGACUCCACGAAGCUGGAUUCGCUAGUAAUCGCGCAUCAGCCACGGCGCGGUGAAUACGUUCCCGGGCCUUGUACACACCGCCCGUCAAGCCAUGGGAGCCGGGGGUACCUGAAGUGCGUAACCGCGAGGAGCGCCCUAGGGUAAAACUGGUGACUGGGGCUAA